CCCUUCGCCAGGGAACAACGAGCCCCAGCUUGAAACCCAAAGGACUUGGCGGUGCUUUAGACCCCCCUAGAGGAGCCUGUUCUAGAAUCGAUAUUCCCCGUUCAACCUCACCCCCUCUUGUUUAUACCGCCUAUAUACCGCCGUCGUCAGCUUACCCUGUGAAGGAUUAAUAGUAAGCAAAAUUGGCAGAGCCUAAAACGUCAGGUCAAGGUGUAGCGUACAGGGGGGAAGAAAUGGGCUACAUUUGCUGACCCAGCAAACACGGACGUUGCACUGAAACGUGCAGCUAAAGGAGGAUUUAGCAGUAAGGAGAGAAUAGAGCGCCCUCCUGAAGAUGGCCUGAGCGCG
RNAcentral lists this ribosomal RNA (348 nucleotides) under Gobius paganellus (rock goby). RNAcentral's name for it is "partial 12S ribosomal RNA". It matches the Rfam family "Bacterial small subunit ribosomal RNA", at positions 865 to 1383 of the family's 1533-position model. Lineage: Eukaryota; Metazoa; Chordata; Actinopteri; Gobiiformes; Gobiidae. The record is from RNAcentral.